This 505-nucleotide ribosomal RNA is filed under the name uncultured Glomeromycotina. RNAcentral describes it as "partial small subunit ribosomal RNA". It matches the Rfam family "Eukaryotic small subunit ribosomal RNA", at positions 591 to 1092 of the family's 1831-position model. The record is from RNAcentral. Lineage: Eukaryota; Fungi; Glomeromycota.
CCAAUAGCGUAUAUUAAAGUUGUUGCAGUUAAAAAGCUCGUAGUUGAAUUUCGGGAUUGACACAUCGGUCGUGCCUUAAGGGGUAUGAACUGGUGUAGUCAGUUUCUCACCUUCUGGAGAACCGCGAUGUCCUUAAUUGGGUGCCGCGAGGAACCCGGACCUUUACUUUGAAAAAAUUAGAGUGUUUAAAGCAGGCAUUUUGCUUGAAUACAUUAGCAUGGAAUAAUAAAAUAGGACGGAUGGUUCUAUUUUGUUGGUUUCUAGGAUCACCGUAAUGAUUAAUAGGGAUAGUUGGGGGCAUUAGUAUUCAAUUGUCAGAGGUGAAAUUCUUGGAUUUAUUGAAGACUAACUACUGCGAAAGCAUUUGCCAAGGAUGUUUUCAUUAAUCAAGAACGAAAGUUAGGGGAUCGAAGACGAUCAGAUACCGUCGUAGUCUUAACCAUAAACUAUGCCGACUAGGAAUCAGACGAUGUUAAUUUUUUAAUGACUCGUUUGGCACCUUACG